GUGCUCGCUUCAGCAGCACAUGUACUAAAACUGGACUGAUACAUAGAAGAUUAGCGUGGCCCCUGCCCAAGAGGACACACAAAUUCGUGAAGCGUUCCAAAGUUUA
Heterocephalus glaber (naked mole-rat) is the source of this 106-nucleotide small nuclear RNA. The record is from Ensembl. Lineage: Eukaryota; Metazoa; Chordata; Mammalia; Rodentia; Bathyergidae.